UAGGGAAUAUUCCACAAUGAGCGAAAGCUUGAUGGAGCGACACAGCGUGCACGAUGAAGGCCCUCGGGUUGUAAAGUGCUGUUGCAAGGGAAGAACACUUAGUUGAGGAAAUGCAACUAAGCUGACGGUACCUUGUUAGAAAGCGAUGGCUAACUAUGUGCCAGCAGCCGCGGUAAUACAUAGGUCGCAAGCGUUAUCCGGAAUUAUUGGGCGUAAAGCGUUCGUAGGCUGUUUAUUAAGUCUGGAGUCAAAUCCCAGGGCUCAACCCUGGCUCGCUUUGGAUACUGGUAAACUAGAGUUGGAUAGAGGUAAGCGGAAUUCCAUGUGAAGCGGUGAAAUGCGUAGAUAUAUGGAAGAACACCAAAGGCGAAGGCAGCUUACUGGGUCUAUACUGACGCUGAGGGACGAAAGCGUGGGGAGCAAACAGGAUUAGAUACCCUGGUAGUCCACGCCGUAAACGAUGAUCAUUAGUCGGUGGGAGCCACUGACGCAGCUAACGCAUUAAAUGAUCCGCCUGAGUAGUAUGCUCGCAAGAGU
RNAcentral lists this ribosomal RNA (537 nucleotides) under uncultured bacterium. RNAcentral describes it as "bacterial SSU rRNA". It matches the Rfam family "Bacterial small subunit ribosomal RNA", at positions 355 to 895 of the family's 1533-position model. The record is from RNAcentral.